CUACCACCUGGUUUAUUCACUUCAACGUAAUAUACUUAAUUUACGCCCAACAGGCCAUUAUUACUGGGCUUAAUAAUGACAGACAGACAACACAUAACAACUGGAUCAAUACAUGGUAGUCCUCUGUAGCUCCAUUGGUAGAGCAUGGCGCUUGAAACAUCAGGAUUGUGGGUUCAAUUCCCGCUGGGGUCACCCAUAAGUUAAAUGUGUGUUGCUUUGGGUAGAAGCCUCUGAGAAAUAUUGUUAUUGCAAGAUCAUAUAUCAAUCAUCAAUAAGAAGAUGGGACAGAUACAGGACACGCAACAACUUAAUUUGUUCCCAAUCAACCUUCCCUCACCUCCCAACACGCAGCAGAUACUGACCAACAGAGGUGUGACUGGGCUACAGUGUCUCUGAGAGGCCGGGUGGUGUGUUUGUGUCGGGGUGCGGUUUAGUGAGUGACCCUGGUGUAAAGGCAGCAUAUGUUCCCCUGCCACAGGCCCAGCCCUGUUUUACAGCCUGUGCUAUAGACAUUACAUAUACGACUGACUGUACCUGCUCUGAUGAGUGUUUUAUAUCAACAAUGUCUGUAAAAUAAUCCAAAACUGAAUAGUACGUGUUAUCAUGUGUUUCUAUAGCGAUAGAGCUGUUCAUGAUGCCAUUGGCUCAGAGAAUUUGAGUUGAUUUACUGUCAUUGGCCCUCCCUCCAUCCUGUUGCUUCACCUCAUUGGUUGAUUGUCCCUCCCAUUGUCCAGGUGAUCAAUCCCAGCCAGGUGUGUGUGUGUGUGUGUGUGUGUGUGUGUGUGUGUGUGUGUGUGUGUGUGUGUGUGUGUGUGUGUGUGUGUGUGUGUGCGGGCGGGCGGGCGAUGUGGAGAAGGUUGAGGGGUGAGUAUGAUGUCAUUCAGAGUGUGUAAGACUGUAUGUGUCUUAAACUGGCACCCUUUUCCUCUAAAAGUGCAUGACUUUAAACCAGAGGCCUAUGAUCUAAGUGGCUCUGGUCAAAAGUAGUGCACAGGCUGCCAUUUGAGACACGGGCUAACUGUAGGAACAAAGCAGAUAGAAAUUCACUGUCCAGAACGGGCAGAACUCUCCAUUGUUUCUGAUCUGGUCAUUGUAUUUGUAUCUGCUGUCAGUGAACUCCCCCAGGUCAUCCAAGCAAUAUUGCCAGCCAAUCACAUGGUUGCAUGGGAAUCAGACUGUGAGCGGGACAUAAAUCAUUAAAGAAAAAGUAGUAAAUAAAUGGAAAAAUGUAACUAAUUACUUCCCUCUCUCCAACUCUUUAUCUUUCCAUAUAUCUCUAUUUCUCUCUGUUCCUCUCUCCCUGUAGUCUACCCCUUCUCUCCCUCUAGUCUAUCCCCUCUCUCCCUAUAGUCUAUCCCCUCUCUCCCUCUAGUCUACCCCCUCUCUCCCUAUAGUCUACCCCCUCUCUCCCUGUAGUCUACCCCCUCUCUCCCUGUAGUCUACCCCCUCUCUCCCUGUAGUCUACCCCUUCUCUCCCUCUAGUCUACCCCUUCUCUCCCUAUAGUCUACCCCCUCUCUCCCUGUAGUCUACCCCUUCUCUCCCUGUAGUCUACCCCUUCUCUCCCUCUCAUCUACCCCCUCUCUCCCUCUAGUCUACCCGAUCUCUCCCUGUAGUCUACCCCCUCUCUCCCUGUAGUCUACCCCCUCUCUCCCUCUAGUCUACCCCUUCUCUUCUCUCCCUCUAGUCUACCCCCUCUCUUCUCUCCCUCUAGUCUACCCCUCUCUUCUCUCCCUCUAGUCUACCCUUUCUCUUCUCUCCCUCUAGUCUACCCCCUCUCUUCUCUCCCUCUAGUCUACCCCCUCUCUUCUCUCCCUCUAGUCUACCCCCUCUCUUCUCUCCCUCUAGUCUACCCCCUCUCUUCUCUCCCUCUAGUCUACCCCUCUCUUCUCUCCCUCUAGUCUACCCCCUCUCGUCCUCUCUUCCGUCUCCUCUAUGCUCUAUAUCUGAAGUAAAGAAGAAGCAUUGAGCUGUGGUAUUGUUCAUAAAAGUGUUUGUUUAGCCUUUUCAUUUUAUACAUUUUCUACCGUAUUUUACUUUUAUUUUUAUUGUUGCAGUUCUUUGAAGAACAUAAAGCGGACAUUUAUUAUGAAAAAUAGUUUUGAAGAUCUAACGAGUCAAUAAAAUAUUACCCAAGUGAA
Oncorhynchus keta (chum salmon) is the source of this 2139-nucleotide long non-coding RNA. RefSeq lists it as uncharacterized. NCBI's taxonomy places the organism in Eukaryota, Metazoa, Chordata, Actinopteri, Salmoniformes, Salmonidae. The record is from RefSeq and is a predicted model, not a curated record. The transcript has 2 exons.